Molecule: transfer RNA, 74 nt
Filed under: Archangium lansingense
Lineage: Bacteria; Pseudomonadati; Myxococcota; Myxococcia; Myxococcales; Archangiaceae
Description: tRNA-Pro
Rfam family: tRNA
About the family: Transfer RNA (tRNA) molecules are approximately 80 nucleotides in length. Their secondary structure includes four short double-helical elements and three loops (D, anti-codon, and T loops). Further hydrogen bonds mediate the characteristic L-shaped molecular structure. tRNAs have two regions of fundamental functional importance: the anti-codon, which is responsible for specific mRNA codon recognition, and the 3' end, to which the tRNAs corresponding amino acid is attached (by aminoacyl-tRNA synthetases). tRNAs cope with the degeneracy of the genetic code in two manners: having more than one tRNA (with a specific anti-codon) for a particular amino acid; and 'wobble' base-pairing, i.e. permitting non-standard base-pairing at the 3rd anti-codon position.
Source: RNAcentral
CUGGGUGUAGCUCAAUUUGGCAGAGCGCGCGGUUCGGGUCCGCGAGGCUGCAGGUUCAAAUCCUGUCACCCAGA